AGCACGCGGCCUUCCUCUCUUCGAUCCCCAAUCCGGCUACAGAGAUGGCUUCUCCCACGCCGGCCUUCUUCCUCGCCCCUGAUGCCGCUGCUGUCUCCUCUUCGGUGAGUGCGGAGGAGCCACCGCCGUCGAGGCAGCCGCCGGCUGGAGCCCCGCCUCUUCUCCUCUCCGGUCGCCGUGGAGGUCUGUCGCGUCCAACCUCCUCGACGCCGCCUAGGCGGCCCAUCUCUUCCUCCCAUGGCCAUGGCCAUGGCGAGCCUGCAAGAGGUGCAGCAGCAGAUCUUCGAGUACAACGGCUCCGCACCCUGCAGCCACCGGUCCGGGAGAGCGUAGCGCCGGUUCGGGUGUCCUGCGCCAACCAGAGCGCGCCCCAGGUGCUCGACAGAACGCCCGCUGCACCACCUGGUCUUAACUUUCUUUCCCUUUGCCAAGCUGAGGGAGAGGGCUAGGGGCUCGGGUGGUGCAGUGGCUGUAAGAAUACGCUCGGGAACGUCGAGUCAUGUCUACUAGGGCGGCAUCCGCGGCUGUCGUCGUAGGCUACUUCAUCUACAAAGGCUCCAAGCUCGCCCACGACUCCACUGCCCUCCAGGUUAUGUCCGAAUGCUCGCUCCCUCCUCCCCUCAGAUCCACUAGCCUGUUGGUUGGAAUCAGUGGAUAUUCACAUGAUGUAUACACGGAACUGCAGUUCACAUCUUUGUCCUGAAUCAUAAUGAGUAUCUUUUCUUGCCAUUGAUUUCUGCACGUAUGGUUCAGCUGCCAUGUCUAGAUCUAAAAGUUCAUCUGGCUUAUGGUGCAUCUCAAUCAUGGAUGAAAAAAAUGUCAAAAUCCUAGCUUAUAGACACUGUACUAAUGUGGGUGGAUACAAUUUCAGAAGAUGAAACUUCAAUCAAAUGAGAAGGCAAAAUUAUAUUGAUUGCUGUCUUCCAUACUUUUCCUGAAUCAUAAUGCUGAACUUUUCUAUGGAUUUAUGUGUCUUUAUUUAAGUUAGCUCAUGAUAGCUCAUCAUGAGCUAUAGGUUCAGUUGGUUUGUUUGUUGGAUGCCUGGUCUUUCUUGUCAUUUUUGACAACCUUUUGAUUUGUAUCUUGAGCCACAUUUUCUACUUGUCUUUUCAAUGUGAGAAUACCAGACAUGAAAUGAUGCAUAUGCACUAUGAUACCUGGAUCACUUUAAAUUCAGGAUUAUUCAUC
This is a non-coding RNA of Triticum urartu, 1188 nucleotides long. Lineage: Eukaryota; Viridiplantae; Streptophyta; Magnoliopsida; Poales; Poaceae. The record is from RefSeq and is a predicted model, not a curated record.